GUGGGGAAUUUUGGACAAUGGGGGCAACCCUGAUCCAGCCAUGCCGCGUGCGGGAAGAAGGCCUUCGGGUUGUAAACCGCUUUUGUCAGGGAAGAAAUCCUUUGGGUUAAUACCUCGGAGGGAUGACGGUACCUGAAGAAUAAGCACCGGCUAACUACGUGCCAGCAGCCGCGGUAAUACGUAGGGUGCGAGCGUUAAUCGGAAUUACUGGGCGUAAAGCGUGCGAAGGCGGUUUUGUAAGAUCGAUGUGAAAUCCCCGGGCUCAACCUGGGAACUGCAUUGGUGACUGCAAGGCUGGAGUGCGGCAGAGGGGGAUGGAAUUCCGCGUGUAGCAGUGAAAUGCGUAGAUAUGCGGAGGAACACCGAUGGCGAAGGCAAUCCCCUGGGCCUGCACUGACGCUCAUGCACGAAAGCGUGGGGAGCAAACAGGAUUAGAUACCCGAGUAGUCC
This 450-nucleotide ribosomal RNA is filed under the name uncultured bacterium. RNAcentral describes it as "bacterial SSU rRNA". It matches the Rfam family "Bacterial small subunit ribosomal RNA", at positions 354 to 796 of the family's 1533-position model. The record is from RNAcentral.